RNAcentral lists this ribosomal RNA (1033 nucleotides) under Salmonella enterica. RNAcentral's name for it is "bacterial LSU rRNA". It matches the Rfam family "Bacterial large subunit ribosomal RNA", at positions 140 to 1211 of the family's 2925-position model. RNAcentral also lists the same sequence under 2 other names. Lineage: Bacteria; Pseudomonadati; Pseudomonadota; Gammaproteobacteria; Enterobacterales; Enterobacteriaceae. The record is from RNAcentral.
UCGUCACACUAUCAUUAACUGAAUCCAUAGGUUAAUGAGGCGAACCGGGGGAACUGAAACAUCUAAGUACCCCGAGGAAAAGAAAUCAACCGAGAUUCCCCCAGUAGCGGCGAGCGAACGGGGAGGAGCCCAGAGCCUGAAUCAGCAUGUGUGUUAGUGGAAGCGUCUGGAAAGGCGCGCGAUACAGGGUGACAGCCCCGUACACAAAAGCGCAUGUGCUGUGAGCUCGAUGAGUAGGGCGGGACACGUGGUAUCCUGUCUGAAUAUGGGGGGACCAUCCUCCAAGGCUAAAUACUCCUGACUGACCGAUAGUGAACCAGUACCGUGAGGGAAAGGCGAAAAGAACCCCGGCGAGGGGAGUGAAAAAGAACCUGAAACCGUGUACGUACAAGCAGUGGGAGCACAGGUUUACCUGUGUGACUGCGUACCUUUUGUAUAAUGGGUCAGCGACUUAUAUUCUGUAGCAAGGUUAACCGUAUAGGGGAGCCGUAGGGAAACCGAGUCUUAACCGGGCGUUAAGUUGCAGGGUAUAGACCCGAAACCCGGUGAUCUAGCCAUGGGCAGGUUGAAGGUUGGGUAACACUAACUGGAGGACCGAACCGACUAAUGUUGAAAAAUUAGCGGAUGACCUGUGGCUGGGGGUGAAAGGCCAAUCAAACCGGGAGAUAGCUGGUUCUCCCCGAAAGCUAUUUAGGUAGCGCCUCGUGAAUUCAUCUCCGGGGGUAGAGCACUGUUUCGGCUAGGGGGCCAUCCCGGCUUACCAACCCGAUGCAAACUGCGAAUACCGGAGAAUGUUAUCACGGGAGACACACGGCGGGUGCUAACGUCCGUCGUGAAGAGGGAAACAACCCAGACCGCCAGCUAAGGUCCCAAAGUCAUGGUUAAGUGGGAAACGAUGUGGGAAGGCCCAGACAGCCAGGAUGUUGGCUUAGAAGCAGCCAUCAUUUAAAGAAAGCGUAAUAGCUCACUGGUCGAGUCGGCCUGCGCGGAAGAUGUAACGGGGCUAAACCAUGCACCGAAGCUGCGGCAGCGA